UGCGGAGGGAUCAUUACCGAGUUUACAACUCCCAAACCCAAUGUGAACGUUACCAAACUGUUGCCUCGGCGGGAUCUCUGCCCCGGGUGCGUCGCAGCCCCGGACCAAGGCGCCCGCCGGAGGACCAACCAAAACUCUUUUUGUAUACCCCCUCGCGGGUUUUUUUUAUAAUCUGAGCCUUCUCGGCGCCUCUCGUAGGCGUUUCGAAAAUGAAUCAAAACUUUCAACAACGGAUCUCUUGGUUCUGGCAUCGAUGAAGAACGCAGCGAAAUGCGAUAAGUAAUGUGAAUUGCAGAAUUCAGUGAAUCAUCGAAUCUUUGAACGCACAUUGCGCCCGCCAGUAUUCUGGCGGGCAUGCCUGUCCGAGCGUCAUUUCAACCCUCGAACCCCUCCGGGGGGUCGGCGUUGGGGAUCGGCCCUGCCUUUUGGCGGUGGCCGUCUCCGAAAUACAGUGGCGGUCUCGCCGCAGCCUCUCCUGCGCAGUAGUUUGCACACUCGCAUCGGGAGCGCGGCGCGUCCACAGCCGUUAAACACCCAACUUCUGAAAU
Molecule: ribosomal RNA, 548 nt
Filed under: Trichoderma sp. DW400B
Lineage: Eukaryota; Fungi; Ascomycota; Sordariomycetes; Hypocreales; Hypocreaceae
Description: eukaryotic LSU rRNA
Rfam family: 5.8S ribosomal RNA (bases 219-372)
Source: RNAcentral